UGGCACUUCUUUUGCGCUCGGUUUCGCUCGCGCCUCUCUUUCUGCUCUGGCCUCACGCAAGGGGGAGACUUAGUGGGAGAAAAAGAGAGGGGGGGGCGGUCGAGGGGGGCAGUCUGCUGCUAUUUCUACAGUCCGGGCCUCCCCACCGUCGCUCUCCCGCCCGCCCUUCCAUAGACUGAGUUUUUUUUCCCCCCGCCACUCACCGCUCGCUUGGAUUUUAACCCUCUGCCUCCAACUUGCAGCUCUUGCAAAAAAAAAAAAAAAUGCUGGCAACAAGUUGCUCCUCCUCGAGGCCUUUUUCGGCCACUUUGUUUGCCGCACAUAUUUUUCCUCUUCGAUUCCCACACUUUUGGAUCUGGCCGCUUUCAAGUAUGCAUUUUUCCACAUUUUAUUUGCGGCAAAAAUGUGGUUAUUUUUGUAGAGUUUGUCGAUGUUUUGUCGAGGAUUCGGAUCGGAAACGGAGGUUUCUCACCGCCGCCAUUGCGAGCUGGACCGACCGAAGAGGGGAUACGACCCGCACGCCGUCCCGAUGACUACGCCAACGGCCGUGCGUGGGCCGGCCGAUUUUCGACAAGAUUUAGCGGGGUUUCUUUUUUUUUUCUUGCCCUCCUCUGCCUCCUGCGCGCUGCCGUCCUUCGGCUUCAUCCCGUCCUCCUUUCGGCGCCGCACAACUCCCGACAUGCAGGCGGACGAGCGGCUUUGGGCUGAGCCGAGCCGCCGGAGCGAGCGUUUUUCUGGGACAGCUGCCAAAUGCAAACAAAAGAGGCCAAAAAGCAAGGAGGGAUAAAAAACGCCCGACUUGAACUCGUUGUGGGGCUGCAGCAGGUGGAGGAGGCGGCCAGGCCGGGCCCGGAGCUGAGAUUGGAGCGAGACGGCCGUCGGACGCAGCUCCGGCCGAAAGCGUCGUCGAGAUCGGUCGCCUGGCGGGGACGGGCGAUUGCGUCUGAACGUCAUCAAGAGGCCGAAAGCUGCGAAGACACGGACUGACGCGCUUUCUGCGGUGGAGCUGCUGUUAAAGCUGUACUAACAUCCCGCCAUGUUUCCGAAGAGGCGAGAAACACAUUGAAAAGCUUCCAAGUGAAAAGUUCAAUUUUGAACUAUAUCUUGAAUAAAUGUCAUUUGCAUUCAUUUAUCAAAAUGAAUGCAGGUAAGUUAUCGGUAAGUAAGGCCGUUUUGCUCAGAUUUAUUCCUCACAUUCAGUAAAGAAAUCACUUGUGUCAAGUAACGCUUUUGUGUGUGAAAGCGGCUGACCGGUGAGGAUGGGGUGAAUAUUUCUAGACUGCCCUUUGGGGUGAGGUAGUAGGUUGUAUAGUUUUAGGGUCACACCCUUCCUGUUAGAUAACUAUACAACUUACUGUCUUUCCUGAAGUGGCUGUAAUGUCGUCUGACGAUUGGACCACCACCGAUGACGUUCUCUAAGCAGCAGCACCUCUUAGCGGCGGAUCAUUGUAACUGCACUUUUAGCUCCUUUGCACUCAGUGACCUCAGUUGCCUCAGUUCAGUUCAGGAUGUUUUCAUUGGCCUGGAUUUUGUUUGUCACCGUUUGCAUGCAUGAUGUGUGCCUGCGCUCCUCAUGUGAUGUCCCGCCAUGUUUCUGAUGUUCGUACGGGGUGAGGUAGUAGGUUGUGUGGUUUCGGGGGUCGUGAUUUUGCCCAAUCAGGAGAUAACUAUACAACCUACUGCCUUCCCUGAAGGGCAGCGAUACGUCACCGGGCGGACUUGACCUCCCCACACACACACACACACACACACAAAUAUCGUGCAACUCAGAAUGGCAACCAGCAUUGCAAGGUUUGUAAUUUACUUUUUUUGCUUAACAAUUCAAUAAAAGGCAUGAAAAUAAA
Long non-coding RNA from Syngnathus typhle (broad-nosed pipefish), 1844 nucleotides. RefSeq lists it as uncharacterized. The record is from RefSeq and is a predicted model, not a curated record. Lineage: Eukaryota; Metazoa; Chordata; Actinopteri; Syngnathiformes; Syngnathidae. The transcript has 4 exons.